UAAAAUUAAACUAUAAAAUAUAAAUGUAUUAGAGAAUGAUACAAUUUGCAAAACUUUUAUAUAUAAAAUAAUUCUUAAAUUUUAAAAAUUACUCUUUAAAAAAAAAUAACGGGACGGGUAAAGAAAUUAUAGAACAGGUUUUAUUUUGGAAUUGGAUUAUAUGGUGGAUCUAUUUGAAUCAAUAUUUAUAAAAUUUUAAAAUAUUAUUAAUAUGCUGUUUUAAUAGGGGUUACAACUUCAGUUUUUUAAAAAUUGUCUCAUGGAUUCGUGGUAUAACGUUAUUUAAUAAUAAUUAUAAACUGUAAAAUAUAAAUAUUUUAU
This 321-nucleotide small RNA is filed under the name Arabidopsis thaliana (thale cress). RNAcentral describes it as "ATSL117050". The record is from RNAcentral. Lineage: Eukaryota; Viridiplantae; Streptophyta; Magnoliopsida; Brassicales; Brassicaceae.